Molecule: unclassified non-coding RNA, 245 nt
Filed under: Hevea brasiliensis (rubber tree)
Lineage: Eukaryota; Viridiplantae; Streptophyta; Magnoliopsida; Malpighiales; Euphorbiaceae
Source: RNAcentral
GUUUUUUUCUCGACAAUAGGAGUAGAAGGAAGAGCAGAAGGCUUCUUGAGUUUCUGAAUCUGAGUCUGAGCUUGAGUUUCUUCUUCAUCCUCUUCUUCUUCAGAGGAAGAUCCGUCUCUGGACACGCCUUCCUCUUCCUCACCCGAUGAGGUUUCUUCUUCUUCGGAGGAAGACGCUGCCGGAGGCUCAUCCAACGGUGACGGACGUUUGGGAGCCAUAGUCAGAGACGGAGAUCGGUGUUUGUU